Molecule: long non-coding RNA, 1178 nt
Organism: Homo sapiens (human)
Lineage: Eukaryota; Metazoa; Chordata; Mammalia; Primates; Hominidae
Source: Ensembl
CUUUGGCCUCGGACUCAGAGUUACACAAUCCGCUCCCCUGGUUCUGAGGCCUUUGGACUUGGAAUGAGCCCCGCACCAGCUUCUCUAGGUUUCCAGCUUGCAGACAGCCUGUCAUGAGACUUCUCAGCCUGCAUAAUCAUAAAUGGUGCUCAGUCGCAGAUGGAACAAUGGUGAGAGCACACCUGAACAAAGGAAAAGCAGAUGUAUUUAUCCCUUACGCAUUUGGGUUGUCCUUACUGCUAUGUCCUGCAUCCAUUGGCUGGAGUGGGACCUCACAAUCUUAAAGUGAUACCCGAUUUGCUAAUAACCUGAAACUUUCCUAAAUAGGUAAGUGCAGGGAAGAACAAAUAAGUUGCUUAUGAAAAGUCUCAGGAGGCAAUAACAUCACCAAAUAAGGAAGGGGCAUAGGCUGUGAGCUGGAAUAUGUUGGUGAGGAUGUCCAACAGUUACAUAGGAUAGAGCUUAACAAAGAGUUAUUAGCACAAAGCAAGGAGGCUUGAAGAAAGUUAGUCUUUAAAAGAAACUGUUGAGGGUCUGAGGCAGCUAGUAGCCGGAGGGUCACCAUGAAGUUCAAUCCCUUCGUUACCUCGGACCGCAGUAAAAACCGCAAACGUUACUUCAAUGCCCCCUCACACGUGCGCAGGAAGAUCAUGUCAUCCCCGCUCUCCAAGGAGCUGCGGCAGAAGUACAAUGUCCGCUCCAUGCCCAUCCGCAAGGACGACGAGGUCCAGGUAGUUCGAGGACACUACAAAGGUCAGCAAAUUGGCAAGGUAAUCCAGGUGUACAGAAAGAAAUAUGUCAUCUACAUCGAGCGGGUGCAGCGUGAGAAGGCCAACGGCACGACUGUCCACGUGGGCAUUCACCCAAGCAAGGUGGUUAUCACCAGGCUAAAACUGGACAAGGAUCGGAAAAAAAUUCUUGAACGCAAAGCCAAGUCUCAACAAGUUGGAAAAGAGAAAGGCAAAUAUAAAGAAGAACUUAUUGAGAAAAUGCAGGAAUAAAUAGAACCUGUUGUGCAACCACGGUUUAACCGGAGAUUUUGAGGCUAGGGUGUGUUUCUUUCGAACUUUUCGGAAUGUCUGGAACAUUUCAUUUCCUGUUUUGUUACCUGUGGCUCUGUAAAUCUACUUUUGCAAUUUUAAGUAAUAAUUUUAUGAAUAAAAAUGGGAAAUGCUUCC